RNAcentral lists this long non-coding RNA (1699 nucleotides) under Mytilus galloprovincialis (Mediterranean mussel). The record is from RNAcentral. Lineage: Eukaryota; Metazoa; Mollusca; Bivalvia; Mytilida; Mytilidae.
UGGGAUUUUUCAGGAUAUCCCAGAAAUUCCUGGGAUAUCCUGAAAGAAAAGAUUUUUUCAGGACAGUAUUUCGUAGGGGAAAUAUUCAGUCAAGACUUUUUUUGAAAUGACGGGUUGCUAAAUUUGGUAUUUUGAAAAUAUAUAAAGGCACGCAGAGCACAUAGUCCGACUUCCUCCUUCUACAGUGUACAAUUUCAAGGUGGAACUUUCAAUAAUGCACCAAGUGUUUUACUUAUAGAGGAUGCAUGUAUGUUCUCAGAUUGUUUUUUAAUUUUAUCAUUUUUCACGAAUAACAGAAUGUUGAACUUACAUUUAAUACAGUUUGCAAGGUUUGUCUGCAACUAUGCACACUACCCAAACGUUGUUUUUUAUACAUCAUACAGAGAAUAUACUAUAUUAAAAACAUGUAUUAAUAUAUCUUUCACUUUUACACUUGUGGAAUGUUUUUAUUAGUAACCUUUUUUUAUGGCUGCAUUAAAAAUGUGUCUUUUAGACACAACAAUUUCAAAUUGUAUUGUAUCGUCCUGAACAUGCCUGAAUUGUUUGCCACCGACAUUUUGCAACCUCAAAUCAAUUAAUUCAAAUUGUACUUGAAAAUCACUGUUUACUCAACAAAAAAAAUUGAAGCUGAAUGUGCAUCCUGUUAGUUGGAAAUAAAACUAAUGAUCAGUAGAAUAAAAAGGAAAUUUACAAAACCAGACAGGGGAAAUGAAAACAAAAUAACAAACAUCAUUCAGAUCCCGUUACAUAUUUUUUCAAUACCUCUCGGUCAACUUUGAAGCAAUUUAUCUAAAAAAAUAAACAAGAAUGGUGACAUGUGUCUCUAUACUUGCACGGCCUCACAAUAAAAUCCUGGAAAUUGUUAGUUUUUAAUCUUUUUCCAUGUACAUGAUAUAUAAGAGAUCGAAAUGAAUUAGUGACAAGGUUUCGAAAUAUUUUUUCCGUUACUAUGCCAUUUUGGGGAAUUUUCUGUGACUGUCAUACAAGUGAGAGGUUUGGCUAGCCAUAAAACCAGGUACAAUCCACUAUGUUCUACAUAAGAAAAUGUCUGUACCAUUUCGGAAUAUAACAGUUGUUGUUAUCCAUUUGUUUGAUUUUGCAUUUAGAUUUACUAGUAGGACUUUCCGUUUUUAGAUUUCCUUGGAAUCGUUUUUUAUUUUGUUAUUUUUCUUUUCAUUAGCACUUUUUUGAAUCUUUUGAUUAACUCAUUUAUUAAAUAAUUUUUUUCCCGCUAAAUUUUAAUAAUUUUAAUAUACAUUUUUGUCUCCUUUUUUAUCCCUUUUCUCCUUUCUCCUGCCCCUUUCUCCCGCCACUUCUCUCCCUUCUCCCGCCCCUCUCUCCCAUGCUCCCAAAACCCUGUCCAGGCCCUCAGAAAAGCAAUCCCUAUGUCUCGCUUGCAAGACAAAAACAAAGUGCUUGUAUGAACUGAAGCCGGGUUGAGGAUUUCUUUAAUUCAUCAGUGGAAGUAAAAUAUUGCACUGUAAGGACAAAGGAGAAUAACUCCCAAAUUUUUAAGGACAUCGUUGAUAUUUUCAGAACAUAUAUUAGAUUCCUGACCUCGCAGAAGUUAUAUAAUUUUCUCAACAAGUAUAACAUCAUUUUGUAACUUGAAUAUUUGAAUAUAUUUCAUUAAUAAAUUUCUGCAAAUAUCCAUGUAUAGGAUGUAUAGAAUGUUGUGAUCAAUGCAUUAUACUUUGUA